RNAcentral lists this long non-coding RNA (4654 nucleotides) under Sus scrofa (pig). RNAcentral's name for it is "lncRNA (ENSSSCG00000063123.1)". The record is from RNAcentral. Lineage: Eukaryota; Metazoa; Chordata; Mammalia; Artiodactyla; Suidae.
UUUUUUUUUUUUUGCUUUUUAGGGCUGCACCCAUGGCAUAUGGAGGUUCCCAGGCUAGGGGUCAAAUUGGAGCUACAGCUGCCAGCCUACACCACAGCCACAGCAACGCCGGAUCUGAGCUGCGUCUGUGACCUACACCACAACUCACAGCAACGCCGGAUCCUUAACCCACUGACCAAGGCCAGGGAUAAAACCCACAACCUCAUCGUUCCUAGUCAGAUUCGUUUCCGCUAAGCCAUGUUGGGAACUCCCAUGUGUAGAAUAUUUCUGAUUGAAAAAGAAUAUCUGUCUCCAUCUUCAUGCCUUAUAAAAUCCAUCAUCAGUAAAAAGGACCUUAUAUUAUCCGUCCUGACGAUGUCCCACAGAUGUCUGUAGGUCAAACUCUAAAUUGAUUUAUACAUAAAUGUAAGAUGGUAUCACCAAUGUUUUGUCACUCUCUUCUGCUGUUUACUUAGUAUUUGCAUAUAUUGUACUGUAUUUUCCAACUCCAUUCUUUCUUCUAAGCCAAAUGUUGAACAGAUUCCACACAGGAAUAGUUUCCCCUGCUUUAUUUACUUUCCUACUAUGAUUCAAAUGUGAAUACGUGAAUACAUGACAUUUUCUAGGUAAUAGAUUUUAUUACCCCAAAGAAAUGAUCAUUUGAAAGUUUAUGCAUAUCUCUAGCUCUUUUUUCUCAUCCUUAGAAUUAGAACAUACAUUCUCUUGUACUGCAGGAGGUGGUGGCAUGGGGAGGAUAAAUUGUCCCAGCAAAAGAAAAGGUGGUUUUAGCACAGCUGGUCUGCCAGAGUGUCGGUAAUCUCCCAGGGCAUUUUUGAGCUAAGUUUUCUCUAACCAUUUCUUCAAAACAGUACCUUAAAGCUUCAGGCUGAGAAUAUCUGCAUUGUUGGUUCAUUCACUGAUUAAAAUAAAGUUAUCUCUAUCUCCUUAAAAAUGCAAUCCCCCCAAAUUUUUAAUAUCAUGUUCCUGAAGGAGAGAAAUUUAUAAAUAAACAAAAGAAGCAAUAUUUUUUUUUCCCAGUCCUCCUAACCCAGUCUAGAAGUUGAUUCCAUCAAGUUAGUGCUCUAGGCAAAAUAGAAAUGCCAGGAGGUUCACUAAUAAUGAUUCCCAAGGAAUCCCUGACUCAAAGGCCAUGUGCUGUGCUUAUGAAAAGUGUCUGAGCAAAGGAGGUUUGUCCUAAAGGUCGUGUAAAUAAUGGUCAGGCUUUCUCUUUCUGGUUAUGUGUACAUAUUGUGUUCUCCUGGUGAGAGAAAAAUCACGUUUUCUCCCUACUCUGAAGGAAUUUACUGAGGAAUUUAGGUCCUUUUAACUCCUAGAAACCUCCACCUUAGAAGGGUACCUGAAGGUCCUCAGGUUCUUGGCUCCUGAAGACGUUGAGGUAGAGCAGCAAGAAGUUCUUGUAAGAGAUGCGCAGAGGAGAUUCCUUUCAUCAGGGAGAGUGACUUGAAGCACAGCAGGGGGGUGGAAUCAGCUCUCACCAUGUUAGUCUCCCUGUAAUGCUGCUCAGAGGUUCUGCUUUACUUAUGUCAUUUGAGGGGUUGAAGAAAAGCACUGAAUACCUUUUGUAACUACUGUAGGUAAAGUUCUAAAUCUGCAAAACAUAGGGCAUACCAUAGAGGCCCUGCUGCUGUGGCGAUUUCAGAAUAUUGGAAGGAAUCUGUUGAAGGUAUUUGAAGGGAUUCAACAAAGUGGACAAUCCUUGUCCUGUGAAAGCAACAUGGGCUUUUUCUUGAACAACUAAAUGCCUGUUAAUACUAGACUUAACUCAACAUUGCAACAACUUAUAUCUAGUUGAAAAACUCCUGUCUUUAAAGGCCUGGCACUGUCAACUCAACAUUUAUUGGCCAUUUACUUUGUGCGAGGCCUCAUGCUAAGCAAUUCUGGGAAACAAAGAGAUAAAUAGGACAAGAGUCAUGCCCUCAAGGAGCUAUUAUCUGUUUGGAUUGGCAGCCUCUUUGGCAAAGUACCCCCUCUUCUGAAACCUUCCAUGCUGUGACUCCAUAAGUUUAAGUGUAAUUUGUUUUUAUUUUUGUUUAGACUUUCACAAUGAUCUUUGAAAUAAUUGGACUUACUAGUUAUUAUAGCUUGGUGACAAAAGUAUGAGUUUAAUAUGUAUAAAAAUUUUUAUAUAUAAAUAUAUUUUAUAUUAAUUUUGUGCAUUUAUACAACAAUCACCUAUGCUUUGGAUGUUGACCCUCUGGCACUGAGAAAUCUCAUAGUAGCUUCCAAUGGAAAAGACUAAGGAAAGUUAGUAAGUAGUAAAAUUAUUUCUAUUUGAAAAACAGGCAACCUAGAUCUGGCACAUACAGUUACUUUCAAGUAACUGGAAUACCUUAUUAGACUAAAUGUUCAAUUUUUAAGAUAUGCUUGAGGACAGCUUAAUGUUUUUGUGUACUGAUAUUUGUGUAUAUUUUUGCAUUUUCCUGAAGAGUCCAUUUUUGGUAAUUUCCUCAGCAUGGAUACUAUUCAAAUUACUGAAACGUAAGUUUUGAUUUUACUUUCUAUUUUUCUGGUGUCUAAAAUUCGGCAUUUAAUUCGGAGAGAAGAGAUGUGACAGUUCCUUCACUUAAUUACAGAUGCAGAUCAUGCAGCCUUUUUUUUUUUUCUGUCUAUCUCCUAGUCCUCUUCAUAAACUGGCAGAUAAUCUCAUAAUUAUUCAAACAAUACUGGCACUGCACAUAGAGCCCAAUAAAGACUAGCAUACCACGCUCGAGCAGCUCCACAGUAAUUUAUUAUCAAGAUUAGAGAUUCCCAGGAAAAUCAUGUUUUAACUAAUUUUACUGUGAGUCUUCAGUAGGGAAGGGAGGAAGCAAUCGAACAAAGCAAAUGACAUUUUAAAAAAACUCUUGUACUCUCCAUUACUUAAGUAGUAAUGAGGAGGGUACUGCAUGAGGAAGGAAUGCAGUGUUCAAACAUUUUUAGUGAAAACAUAUAUAAUUAAGCCUGAAGUCUACUUAUAGUUGAAGAAAAGGCAGAUAACUCUUUACAGCUAAGGACUCCAUGAGGCUACAAAAUGGUGUGGACAAUGUAAUAUAAUGGGACACAGGUGCUAAUAUUAAUAUAACAAAAUAAGUAUGAACCCAUUAAUAGUCAUGAGUGUUGUAGGGUUUUUUGGGGGGGGGGCAUGUAUCUGCAGCAUAUGCAAGUUCCCAGGCUGGAUGUUGAAUAGAAGCCACAGCCACCGGACAUAGCAAUGCCAGCUGGUGGCAAUGCUGGAUCCUUAACCCACUGAGCAUGGCCAGGGAUUGGACCCACAUCCUCAUUGAUACUAGUGGGUUCAUAACCCCCUGAGCCACAAUGGCAAAUCUCCACAUUGUCUUCUACUUGUCUAUUCAGCCAUGAUAUUAGAUCAUGAAAUGAGUUAGCUCUCAGGAGACUUCAAAAUUAACCCCCAACCCUGCCCCUGCCAGGGAGGAUUGAGAAUUAGGUAAAUACAGUGAAAUAUCUGAAUAUAUUUGCAGAACAAAAACAUUGCAUAGAGCAAAUGCUUCUUAUAGCAAAACUGUUAGUGAGAUGCAGGUGGAAGAGCCCUAGACCUGGACAUAAAUGCCCUGGGCUCCAGUUUUGGAUCCCUUAGUUAAUAAUUUGAACAUUACCCAAGAAUUAAUUUCUAUGAAUAUUAGGCUCAUUUUCUUGAACAUAUUAAUUUGGUCUUACAUUGCUAUAAUAAUAUACUAGAUCAAAAUCACUUUACUAACUGAAAUUCAUUGCAUGGUUGCACAUUAUUAUAGCACAUAAAUAGUUUGUCUGUGUAUGUUGAUAAAGAAAAACUGCAAAAUAAAUGCAAAUGAAUCGACUGACAAGGGAUUCAUCUCCAAAAUUUAUAAAUACUUCCUACUGUUCAAUACCAAAAAAAACCAAACAACCCCAUCAAAAAAUGGGCAGAAGAUCUAAAAGACAAUUCUCGAAAGAAGACAUACAGAUGGCCAAAAAACACAUGAAAAGAUGUUCAACAUCACUCAUUAUUAGAGAAAUGCAAAUCAAAACCAUGAUGAGGUACCCACCUUACCUUUGAAAGGCUAUCAUCAAAAGGUCUACAAACAAUAAGGGUUGGAGAGGGUGUGGAGAAAAAGGAACCCCAUUACACUGUUGGUGGGAAUGUAAAUUGGUGUAACCAUUGUAAAAAACAGUAUGGAGAUUCCCUAGAAAACUAAAAAUGGAAUUACCAUUUGAUCCAGCAAUCCCACUCCUGGGCAUCUAUCCAGAGAAAACCAUGACUUGAAAAGACACGUUUUCUGAUGUUCACUGAAGCACUAUUUGCAAUAGCCAAGACAUGGAAACAACCUAAAUGUCCACUGGCAGAGGAGUGGACAAAGAAGAUGUACAUAUACACAAUGGAAUAUUACUCAGCCUUAAAAGGACAGAAAUAAUGGCAUUUUUAGCAACAUGGAUGGACCUAGAAAUUAUCAUGCUAUGUGAAGUCAGUCAGACAAUCAGACACCAACAUCAAAUGCUAUCACUUACAUGUGGAAUCUUAUAAAAAGGACACAAUGAAUUUCUCUGCAGAACCAGAUACUGACUCACAGACUUUGAAAAAUUUAUGGUUUCCAAAUGAGACAGGUUGGGAUGUGGGGCUAUGCACUGAUGGUUUGGGAUGGAAAUGUUGCAAAAUUUGGUUGUGAUGAUUGUUGUAUACCUACAAAUGUAAUAAAAUUCA